This 69-nucleotide transfer RNA is filed under the name Fukomys damarensis (Damara mole-rat). It matches the Rfam family "tRNA". Rfam says of the family: Transfer RNA (tRNA) molecules are approximately 80 nucleotides in length. Their secondary structure includes four short double-helical elements and three loops (D, anti-codon, and T loops). Lineage: Eukaryota; Metazoa; Chordata; Mammalia; Rodentia; Bathyergidae. The record is from Rfam by way of RNAcentral.
GGAGGUGUAGCUCAGUGGCAGGGCAUCUGCCUAACAUGCACAAGGUCCUGGGCUCAAUUCCUAGUUCUG